CUACGGGGCGCACCAGUGGGGAAUCUUGCGCAAUGGGCGAAAGCCUGACGCAGCAACGCCGCGUGCGGGAUGAAGGCCUUCGGGCUGUAAACCGCUUUCAGCAGGAACGAAAAUGACGGUACCUGCAGAAGAAGGAGCGGCCAACUACGUGCCAGCAGCCGCGGUGACACGUAGGCUCCAAGCGUUGUCCGGAUUUAUUGGGCGUAAAGAGCUCGUAGGCGGUUGAGUAAGUCGGGUGUGAAAACUCUGGGCUUAACCCGGAGACGCCAUCCGAUACUGCUCUGACUAGAGUUCAGGAGGGGAGUGGGGAAUUCCUAGUGUAGCGGUGAAAUGCGCAGAUAUUAGGAGGAACACCGGUGGCGAAGGGCCACUCUGGACUGAAACUGACGCUGAGGAGCGAAAGCAUGGGUAGCAAACAGGAUUAGAUACCCCUGUAGUC
This 439-nucleotide ribosomal RNA is filed under the name uncultured bacterium. RNAcentral describes it as "partial 16S ribosomal RNA". It matches the Rfam family "Bacterial small subunit ribosomal RNA", at positions 339 to 795 of the family's 1533-position model. The record is from RNAcentral.